CGACCGUGAAAACAAUUGCUAGGGGCUGGCUGGAUUGCUGUUGGUUUUUCCCCUCCUGGUGGCUUUGCUUGGUUUGGGUUUAGUUUGGGAACAAACUUGUUUUAUAUCAACACUUCCUUCUACAUCGGGCGCCGUCGCCUCAACUGCGCGUGGGGGGCGAGGCGCCCACCCCGCACAAGAACAGAGGAGCGGGGGAGAAGAGACGGCCUCGCUGCUCACUGGGCCCCUUUGUGUGACUAAAUUUGGCAAGAAUAUGGAUCUGAGCCAGUCUUUCCACGUGUGCUCCCAGCUCCCAGCUGAGAAGGCCAAGGGUUCUCUUCCGGUGCUCCAGGAAAGUACCUGAUUGACAAGAUCUACAUCCAAUGCCCAGAAAACACAUCCUACACAGGCACAGUGAAGCGUGGAGUUGAAGAAUUUUCCAGUGAGUUCCAUCAAAGUAAAUAAACCAACCUAGAGCAUCAGGA
Long non-coding RNA from Homo sapiens (human), 464 nucleotides. Ensembl annotates it as LEF1 antisense RNA 1. Its record names the gene LEF1-AS1. The record is from Ensembl. Lineage: Eukaryota; Metazoa; Chordata; Mammalia; Primates; Hominidae.